This 315-nucleotide long non-coding RNA is filed under the name Panax ginseng (ginseng). Its description in RNAcentral is "long non-coding RNA (PGIN_LNC007579)". Lineage: Eukaryota; Viridiplantae; Streptophyta; Magnoliopsida; Apiales; Araliaceae. The record is from RNAcentral.
UUAAAGUUCCAGUAUAUACCAAUACCUAUGUGCUUACAGUUUUAGUUACAAUAAGGAUUCUACCAGAGUGGAUGUUUUAUCUUGCACUUAAAAUGUCUAAACUAUAAAAUUAAAUUCUAUGGAAAACCCAACUUUAAAAAGAAAAUAGAAGAUGAUAUGGAAAACCCACCUUUAAAAAGAAAACCUCCUCUGUUGUACCUAAUGGCUAUCACUGAAACAUCGACUAUACUGCCAUUUUACGUAAUAAGGGUUUUAUACUUGUUAUAUUGCUAGUAGGUAGAAAUAUCCUUUUGACAUGACCCUUUUUGGACCACA